CCUACGGGUGGCUGCAGUGGGGAAUUUUGCACAAUGGGGGAAACCCUGAUGCAGCGACGCCGCGUGGGUGAUGAAGGCCCUAGGGUUGUAAAGCCCUUUCAGCAGGGAAGAUGAUGACGGUACCUGCAGAAGAAGCCCCGGCUAACUCCGUGCCAGCAGCCGCGGUAAUACGGAGGGGGCUAGCGUUGUUCGGAAUCACUGGGCGUAAAGCGCGCGUAGGCGGCUUGGAAAGUUGGGUGUGAAAUCCCGGGGCUUAACCCCGGAACUGCACUCAAAACUUCUUGGCUAGAGACUUAGAGAGGUGGGCGGAAUUCCGAGUGUAGAGGUGAAAUUCGUAGAUAUUCGGAAGAACACCGGUUGCGAAGGCGGCUCACUGGCUAAGUUCUGACGCUGAGGUGCGAAAGCGUGGGGAGCAAACAGGAUUAGAUACCCCGGUAGUC
RNAcentral lists this ribosomal RNA (440 nucleotides) under uncultured bacterium. RNAcentral's name for it is "bacterial SSU rRNA". It matches the Rfam family "Bacterial small subunit ribosomal RNA", at positions 338 to 795 of the family's 1533-position model. The record is from RNAcentral.